GACAGAGGUGCCGAGCGUUAGGCGGAAUCACUGGGCUUAAAGCGUGUGUAGGCGGGUCGUUAAGUGUCUUGUGAAAUCCCACCGCUCAACGGUGGAACCGCUGGGCAUACUGGCGAUCUUGAGCAGUCCAGGGGCGAGCGGAACAAGCGGUGGAGCGGUGAAAUGCGUAGAUAUCGCUUGGAACGCCGACGGUGAAAACAGCUCGCUGGGGACUCGCUGACGCUGAGACGCGAAAGCGUGGGGAGCGAACAGG
RNAcentral lists this ribosomal RNA (253 nucleotides) under uncultured bacterium. Its description in RNAcentral is "partial 16S ribosomal RNA". It matches the Rfam family "Bacterial small subunit ribosomal RNA", at positions 524 to 776 of the family's 1533-position model. The record is from RNAcentral.